GGGACAUGAUGAUAUUAGUUGGUCCGUGUUUCUGAUUACAUGGUGACUGAUACUCCUUUACCAAUUCUGAUCCC
This is a non-coding RNA of Musa acuminata subsp. malaccensis (wild Malaysian banana), 74 nucleotides long. NCBI's taxonomy places the organism in Eukaryota, Viridiplantae, Streptophyta, Magnoliopsida, Zingiberales, Musaceae. The record is from Rfam.